Lemur catta (Ring-tailed lemur) is the source of this 356-nucleotide long non-coding RNA. RefSeq lists it as uncharacterized. The record is from RefSeq and is a predicted model, not a curated record. The transcript is spliced from 2 exons. NCBI's taxonomy places the organism in Eukaryota, Metazoa, Chordata, Mammalia, Primates, Lemuridae.
GCGGCCACCAACCUUCCCACCUUCAGAGCCUGGGCCGCCGGCUCCUCUCUGCCUCCUUCCUUCUUUCCCUCCUCUGCCUGAGGUGUCCGUUUGGGAGAGGCCGAAUGGAAAGGCGAGGUGCGGAUGGAUGCUCGCUCUCUCCUGACAGGAGGUCAUUUUUCAUCACUGGGAUUGGCUCUGAGACCCGCCUUUGUGAGGGAAACUCCAUUCCACAAAUACUUGCUCUCUUGUGAAGCCAGGUCACCAGGCGAAGAUUUGGGAAAGCUUUUCUGAAACUCUUUCCUGGCUCCCUCCCUAAGCCAACACCUAGCCCUAUUUGGCCCCCUCGCCCCGCCCCAAAUACAUUGUUUCUCUGA